AAGGAAGCCUUCGGGUGGAAUGUAACAGACUUAGUGGCGGACGGGUGAGUAACGCGUGGAUAACCUGCCUUAUACAGGGGUGAUAACGGAGAGAAAUUUCCGCUAAGACCGCAUAAGACCACAGCACCGCAUGGUGCGGGGGUAAAAUAUUUAUAGGUAUAAGAUGGAUCCGCGUCCGAUUAGCUAGUUGGUGAGGUAGAGGCUCACCAAGGCGACGAUCGGUAGCCGGCCUGAGAGGGUGAACGGCCACAUUGGGACUGAGACACGGCCCAAACUCCUACGGGAGGCAGCAGUGGGGAAUAUUGGACAAUGGGGGAAACCCUGAUCCAGCGACGCCGCGUGAGUGAAGAAGUAUUUCGGUAUGUAAAGCUCUAUCAGCAGGGAAGAAAAUGACGGUACCUGACUAAGAAGCCCCGGCUAACUACGUGCCAGCAGCCGCGGUAAUACGUAGGGGGCAAGCGUUAUCCGGAUUUACUGGGUGUAAAGGGAGCGCAGACGGCGAAGCAAGUCUGAAGUGAAAUGCAUGGGCUCAACCCAUGAAUUGCUUUGGAAACUGUUUGGCUUGAGUGUCUGGAUGGGGUAAGCGGAAUUCCUAGUGUAGCGGUGAAAUGCGUCGAUAUUAGGAGGAACACCUGGAGGCGAAGGCGGCUUACUGGACGACAACUGACGUUGAGGC
This 676-nucleotide ribosomal RNA is filed under the name uncultured Lachnospiraceae bacterium. RNAcentral's name for it is "bacterial SSU rRNA". It matches the Rfam family "Bacterial small subunit ribosomal RNA", at positions 68 to 752 of the family's 1533-position model. The record is from RNAcentral. Lineage: Bacteria; Bacillati; Bacillota; Clostridia; Lachnospirales; Lachnospiraceae.